CAAAAAUCAUGUUUUUGUUCUUUUCAGGUCUUCCAAAAACGUUUGCCACCUGAAGCAGUAGAUCUUCUUUGUAGGUUCUUCCAGUAUUCUCCUAAUUUGAGAUGCACAGCGGUGGAAGCUUGUAUCCACCCGUUCUUUGAUGAGCUAAGAAACCCAAACGCUCGUCUGCCAAACGGCCGGCCACUUCCUCCACUUUUCAAUUUUAAACCGCAAGAACUCUCUGGUAUCCCUCCUGAAACUUUGGACCGGCUUGUCCCAGAACAUGCCCGUAAACAGAUCCACUUCAUGGCAUUAGACUCGUAAGUCUCUUCCGCGUUUUCUGUACGACCUAUCGGGUGUUCUCUCCUUUCCUCUAAACUCUCUAGAUCUCAGUCUUUGGGAAAAACCAGUAGAGCUCUCUCUGUAAACAGAAAUUCACUGGAAAAAGAAGCAAUGACUUUCUAUUAAGGUGCUUGCACAUCCUUUCUUGUGUCGAACAGGGCAUGCGUAAAAUGCAACACUACUUUGCUAGAUAAUGUUGAUAUAGAGGAAACAAACUUACAUUCUACAAUACUCUCAAGCCAUAACACAAUUUUUCAAAAAAUUGUGAAACAAAUAAAUUUUUGUUUCAGUUUGGUUUA
This is a non-coding RNA of Camelina sativa (false flax), 620 nucleotides long. NCBI's taxonomy places the organism in Eukaryota, Viridiplantae, Streptophyta, Magnoliopsida, Brassicales, Brassicaceae. The record is from RefSeq and is a predicted model, not a curated record.